Molecule: microRNA precursor, 83 nt
Filed under: Ochotona princeps (American pika)
Lineage: Eukaryota; Metazoa; Chordata; Mammalia; Lagomorpha; Ochotonidae
Description: miRNA (ENSOPRG00000018294.1)
Source: RNAcentral
GCUGUGAGGAAGAGGAGAUGGCGCCGGGUCCAGGGUGGGAUACUCGAAUGACUCCUUACACCCACACUAUUUUUGUCUUUGCU